GUGGGGAAUCUUGCGCAAUGGGCGAAAGCCUGACGCAGCCAUGCCGCGUGAAUGAUGAAGGUCUUAGGAUUGUAAAAUUCUUUCACCGGGGACGAUAAUGACGGUACCCGGAGAAGAAGCCCCGGCUAACUUCGUGCCAGCAGCCGCGGUAAUACGAAGGGGGCUAGCGUUGCUCGGAAUUACUGGGCGUAAAGGGCGCGUAGGCGGACAGUUUAGUCAGAGGUGAAAGCCCAGGGCUCAACCGUGGAAUUGCCUUUGAUACUGGCUGUCUUGAGUACGGGAGAGGUGAGUGGAACUCCGAGUGUAGAGGUGAAAUUCGUAGAUAUUCGGAAGAACACCAGUGGCGAAGGCGACUCACUGGCCCGUUACUGACGCUGAGGCGCGAAAGCGUGGGGAGCAAACAGGAUUAGAAACCCUGGUAGUCC
Molecule: ribosomal RNA, 425 nt
Filed under: uncultured bacterium
Lineage: Bacteria
Description: partial 16S ribosomal RNA
Rfam family: Bacterial small subunit ribosomal RNA
Source: RNAcentral